AACGAACGCUGGCGGCAUGCCUAACACAUGCAAGUCGAACGAGAUCUUCGGGUCUAGUGGCGCACGGGUGCGUAACGCGUGGGAAUCUGCCCUUUGGUUCGGAAUAACAGUUGGAAACGACUGCUAAUACCGGAUGAUGACGAAAGUCCAAAGAUUUAUCGCCAGAGGAUGAGCCCGCGUAGGAUUAGCUAGUUGGUGUGGUAAAGGCGCACCAAGGCGACGAUCCUUAGCUGGUCUGAGAGGAUGAUCAGCCACACUGGGACUGAGACACGGCCCAGACCCCUAGGGGAGGCAGCAGGGGGGAAUAUGGGAAAAUGGGCGAACGCCUAAUCCAGCAAGCCCGCGUGAGUGAUGAAGGCUUUAGGGUUGAAAAGCUCUUUUCCCCGGGAUGAUAAUGACAGUACCGGGAGAAUAAGCUCCGGCUAACUCCGUGCCAGCCGCCGCAAUAA
RNAcentral lists this ribosomal RNA (449 nucleotides) under uncultured bacterium. RNAcentral's name for it is "partial 16S ribosomal RNA". It matches the Rfam family "Bacterial small subunit ribosomal RNA", at positions 29 to 523 of the family's 1533-position model. The record is from RNAcentral.